ACUCAGAGGAAUUAAAUAAUAUGGCCAAACUCAUUCCUUUUGAGGGGCCAAGUUAGAAUGUCGCUCAUUCUUGGUCAAACACUGAAGGCCAGAUUUUUCUAUUAUAAAGUACUGGUUAGCAUUCAAGACCUUCAGACUCCUGUCUUAUUCUGCUUUCUGGAGGAGUCAAAGUAUUAUAAUAUGCUGUUCUUGUCACUUGUGACCAGGCUGAAAAUUAGGGCAAAGCACAUCAACUUUAUGCCUCAGCAAUUAUUCUAUAAAGCAACAUGAAAUAUACAUACCCACAAAUAAAACUGAAAUUGAACCAUAACUUUACAAAAGAUGUUUUAUCAAAAGGCCAUUUAUUAAUCCACACUCACCGAUUAGGUGGCCCUGUCAUUUAUCUGUGUGAACAUCAAGCAGAUCUACCACUAUUACAUUAAUUAAUUAAUUCGGCCCUUUAUCCCCCAGGGUGGGCCCGGGAGACACCUGGCUUAUUUUCACAGCAGUCCCUGAUGCGCAGCUGUCAAGCCGCAUCCUGACUGGCACUCUGAGCUUCAUGCAAGGCCAAGCACUUAAUCUCUUUAACGGAGACCUGUCAUCACUUGCUUUCACUUCAUUGCAGGCCCAGUCUACGUUGAGACAUAAUGUCUCAAGCACCUGUCCCUUUCCUCCCGUCCUAACAGCCACCAUCUGGGUUCAGACACUUCUCAACUCCUCUGUGCAUCACAGUUCCCACAACUCGACUGUCUUAUCUGUGCCAGGCACCACGUACAUGAUUCUGAUUCUCUUCCUCCCAUUCACAAAAUGACCAUGCAAAUUAACAUGAUCGUCUUCAUAUUCCCCCAAAGAAAAUGGACUCUUAGAAAAGCAGAGUGACUUGAGCAAGAUUGCUCAACUGGGAAGUCGUAGAGCCACGACUUGAACCCAGCUUUACGUGGACUUCAGUAAUUAUGCUCCUUUCACCCCUCUGCAUUACAUCUAGCUCUGCAGCUAAGCCCUGGGAGUAGAAGACAGGAGCUAGCUGGGCUACACGUUGCAUAGAGAAGUAAGAUGGACAGGUGAGCUUCGCCAGAAAAACAUGUCAGCCUGAGGGCCUGACUAGGGGAGAUAAGAAAUGUCAAGAGAAACUCUGGAGUAGUCUUUUGUGGAUAUGCCAUGUAAAUUCUCUCCACUCUCUUCUUUGUGAACUCCUCUGUGAAUUCCGCUUUGCUCCUGACAUUUAUGUACAGUGCAUAUAUUUGUUGUUGGUAGUGGUGGUAGAGCCAGUGCUCUGUGCUAAGAGGAGCAGGAAGAGAUGAUGGACAUUUAGACUGUACCUUGUUUUAUAAUAGAGAUGGAUUUUUAAAAAUAACAGAUGAAAUGGGGAAUUAGGGUAGGGUGUUUUCCAACACCUGAAUGGAAGAUGUUGAAAUGCUGAGGGCCCCCAAAGGUGUAUGCAUUUGAGGCUUGGUCUCCAGCUUGGCAGUAUUGGGAGGUUAUAGAAACUGCAAGAUGUGCAGCCCAGUGGAAAGUCUUUGGAUCAUUGGGGGCAUAUCUUUGAAGGAGCUGUGGGAUGCUUGUCCCUUCGGAUUUCUCUCUUUUGCUUUCUAGCCAUGAGGUGAGUACUUUAUUCCCUCCAAGUGCUCCCAUCAUGAUGUGAUGUCUCACCACAGGUCCCAAAUAAAUGGGGCCAAUUGAUCACAACUGGAACUUCUAAAACUGUAACCCCAAAUAAACCUUUUAUCUUUAUAAGUUAAUAAUUUUAAGUAUUUGUUAUAGUAAUGGAAAACUGACUAACAGAGGUGAGAAAAUAGCUAAUACAAAAGCACAGAAGUGUAAUGAUUUCCCAGGCCCUUGUCUUCUAGGAUAUAAUCGUUUUCAGAAGUAUCCUUUCUCCACAGAAGAUGCUGAAUUUAUCUUCUCAUAUUCAGAAGGCUACAAGUCUUUAAUACAUGGUUCAUGACCAGCCUUCAAUCUUAAGCCUUCGUUUUCAAAGUUCUGCCUUUCACAUUU
Molecule: long non-coding RNA, 1974 nt
Filed under: Marmota monax (woodchuck)
Lineage: Eukaryota; Metazoa; Chordata; Mammalia; Rodentia; Sciuridae
Source: RNAcentral